Molecule: ribosomal RNA, 450 nt
Filed under: uncultured bacterium
Lineage: Bacteria
Description: partial 16S ribosomal RNA
Rfam family: Bacterial small subunit ribosomal RNA
Source: RNAcentral
GUGGGGAAUAUUGGACAAUGGGCGAAAGCCUGAUCCAGCCAUGCCGCGUGUGUGAAGAAGGUCUUCGGAUUGUAAAGCACUUUAAGUUGGGAGGAAGGGCAGUAAGUUAAUACCUUGCUGUUUUGACGUUACCAACAGAAUAAGCACCGGCUAACUUCGUGCCAGCAGCCGCGGUAAUACGAAGGGUGCAAGCGUUAAUCGGAAUUACUGGGCGUAAAGCGCGCGUAGGUGGUUCAGCAAGUUGAAGGUGAAAUCCCCGGACUCAACCUGGGAACUGCCUCCAAAACUACUGAGCUAGAGUACGGUAGAGGGUAGUGGAAUUUCCUGUGUAGCGGUGAAAUGCGUAGAUAUAGGAAGGAACACCAGUGGCGAAGGCGACUACCUGGACUGAUACUGACACUGAGGUGCGAAAGCGUGGGGAGCAAACAGGAUUAGAUACCCGAGUAGUCC